This is a long non-coding RNA of Sinocyclocheilus rhinocerous, 1162 nucleotides long. RefSeq lists it as uncharacterized. The record is from RefSeq and is a predicted model, not a curated record. Lineage: Eukaryota; Metazoa; Chordata; Actinopteri; Cypriniformes; Cyprinidae. The transcript is spliced from 2 exons.
AAAAUGACAGCCAUAAAUGUUAUUUUGGUUGAGUUGGAGUGUAUUACUGACAUGGGUUUGUAUGUGCUACUUUCAGAGUUCUCUCAAAGUUUGCCUUCAGUCUCUCCCAAGACUGUGAGCUGCCUACCAAAAAAGAGGAGAAGGAGCAGAGGCCUCUGAAGGAGGGAGUUCAGGACAUGUUGGUGAAACAUCACCUCUUCAGCUGGGACAUUGAUGGCUAAACCAUCACACGCCUCCUGUGAGCUGCAAACACAUAGACCAAAUCACUCUCCAUCUGCAGAAAACAGGCAUCACACGUGAAAUUCAUGUUCAUUCGUUGUACAGCUUUAUGUCACAUGGCUGCAUUGUUGAGUGUUUGUGUGUCUUGGCACAAUAGUUUCACUUUUUGUGACUCUGUCUGUACAAAGGAGGAGUUCUUUGCCAAGAUUUCACACAGAAUCAGACUAAGGACUACCUGCAAACACUUCCUCUCCUCCGAAGCUAAAUAAAUGUUGCACCAUUUGGGGCACGACUAGAGUGGUCAUGAAUGAAUGUAGGAUUUGCACCCUUUUGUCCCUUUACUCUUGGUGAUCUCUGGAUAGUGGGAAAGAUGUCAGUCCAGCUCUUAUGCUCCGGAAGGAUUGUCUUGAAGAGCUUACUCAGUGUCUGAAUGAUCACGUUUGUGUAUAUCAGACAUGUACAAUCAGAGAUUAAACACAUUUUCAUUAUCUUCAGAGGACUUUCCAAUUAUGAUUGUUUCCAAAAUAGCUGAAUAAUACCACCCCACAUCCGUAACAUCCCAUUACAUCCACAGUAAACUAAUGAUGAAACUCAUUCACUACAGUCAGGUCUCUUUCUCUCGUGUGUAGUUCAGACUGCAGCAUUAAAACACUUCUGCCUCAACAUGAAGGGCAUCACUGAUGAUUCGGUGUUGUUGGUGUGGCAAUGAAUCAGCUUUGUGUUACAUAUUUUGCUAUUUCUUAUAAACCAUGUAAAGUAUAAAGAAGAGAAAACUAUUAUUUAGCUUUUCUUUUUUUUUUUGAGAUGUGAAAUAGAAGACGGUCCAGUGCUGCACUGCAGUCUACAUGGAGUCAUAAUGGGCCGCUCUGAAUGAGUGACGCAGAAGAGCUGUGUGUGUCUUCUCUGCAAGAGCCUGCAGAUGUUAGAGUAAGUGAAAGAAAAA